GCGUUGCUCGGAAUCACUGGGCGCAAAGCGCACGUAGGCGGAUCUUUAAGUCAGGGGUGAAAUCCUGGAGCUCAACUCCAGAACUGCCCUUGAUACUGGGGAUCUUGAGUCCGGAAGAGGUGAGUGGAACUCCGAGUGUAGAGGUGAAAUUCGUAGAUAUUCGGAAGAACACCAGUGGCGAAGGCGGCUCACUGGUCCGGUACUGACGCUGAGGUGCGCAAGCUAGGGGAGCAAACGGG
This 239-nucleotide ribosomal RNA is filed under the name uncultured bacterium. RNAcentral's name for it is "partial 16S ribosomal RNA". It matches the Rfam family "Bacterial small subunit ribosomal RNA", at positions 538 to 776 of the family's 1533-position model. The record is from RNAcentral.